Molecule: non-coding RNA, 30 nt
Filed under: Mus musculus (house mouse)
Lineage: Eukaryota; Metazoa; Chordata; Mammalia; Rodentia; Muridae
Source: RNAcentral
UACAUUUUGCACAACACACUUAGUCGCCUA